ACAGGAUGAAGGACAACAAGGAAGGGAGGGAGAGGUAGAGAGUGAGGGAAAUGGAGAGAGUGGGAGACAGUAAAAGAGCAACAUUGAUGCAAGGAGUAGGAAGAGAGAGGAAGCAUGAAAGGAAUACAGGGAGGGAGGAGGAAAGACUGAGGACAGAAGAUGGAACAGUAGGAGGAAGGAAGAGAGCCAGUAGGACAGGGAAGAAAAAAGAAAACAUUGAUGAAAGGAGGAAGACAGGAAAAAUGGGAGCGAGGAAGAAAGGACAGGUAGAGAUGAAAGACAAGGAAAGAGAAGUAAACAGAGACAAAGAGAAGGAGGAAGACAAGAAGAGAGUGAGGAAGAUAGCAACGAUACCAGAGAGGAUGAACAACAGAGUGGAAGAAAUUGAGAGAGAGAAUGAAAGGAAUACAGAGAGAAAGGAAGAUGGAGGACAUGUAGAGACAAUGGACAACAAGGACAGAAGGGAGACAGGAAGGAAAGAAAAGAUGAAAGAAGACACUGAGAAAGGGAGGAUGACAGGAAUACAAGGAAGGAUGGAAACAAAGCGACAGGGCAGGAUGUUAAGAGAUGGAGAAUGAAAGGAACACAGGAAGGAAGACAGACAGGAGAGGUCGAGACAAAACACAAGGAAGGAAGGGAGACAGGGAGGAAAGAAGGAAGAAAUGAAAGGAAUGAAUAAAUGAAGAUGGGAGGAAGAAAACAUGAAGGCAGAGAUGAGGGGAGAAAAAAAAAGGUAAACAGGAAGAGAGAAAAUGGGAAGAAAACAGAGCGGACGUGAGGGAAAUGGAGAGAACAGAUGAAAGAAAAGGGAGAAAGACGGGAAAGAAGACAUGAGAGGGAGGGAAAACAAAGACAGAGAGGAAGACGGAUGAAAACGGGAAAAAAAAAUAACGAGAUGACAUUAAGAGAUGGAAAAUGACAGGAAUGCAGGAAGGAAGACAGACAGGACAGGUAUCGAUAAAGGACAACAAGGAAGGAAGGGAGAGGUAGAGAGUGAAGGAAAUGGAGAGUAAGAGGGGGAGACAGUAAAAGAGCAAAGGAAGGAGGAAGACAGAGACAGGAAGCAUGAAAGGAAUACAGGGAGGAAGACAAAGGACAAGAGGAAGGACAACAAGGAAGGAAGGGAAAAAUAUGUAGAGAGGAAGGAAGAGAGGCAGUGGGACAGGGAAGACAACAUUGAGGCAAGGAGGACAGCAGGAAUAGUGGGAGCGAGGAAAAAAGGAUAGGUAGAGAUGAGGGACAACAAAAAAAGAAGUGAACAGAGACAAAGAGAAGAAGAGGACAAGGGAGGGAGGAAGACAACGAUACCAGAGAGGAUGAACAACAGAGAGGAAGAAAUUGAGAGAGGAUGAAAGGAAUACAGAGAGAAAGGAAGAUGGAAAGAUGGAGGACAUGUAGAGAAAAAGGACAACAAGGAAGGAAGGAAGGGAGGGAGACAGGAAGGAAAGAAAAUGAAAAAAUUAAGAGGAAGGAAGAAAAACGGAAAAAAGGAAGGUGGAGGUGAGGGAAGAAAAACAAAAAUAGAGAGGAAAACAAAUGAAAACUGAAGAGACAGCGAGAAGAGCGAAGGUGGAAGACAGAAAAGAGUGAGGAAGACUAAGGCGAUAACAGGAGGAGUACAGGGAGGGAGGAAGACCGAAAAAGAAGAGGGAAGAAAACAGAACGGGAGCAAGAAAAAUGGAAAGAAGAGAGGAAAGAAUAAAGAGACAGAUGGGAAGAACACAUGAGGAGAGGGAGGAAGAUAGGAAGAGGGAAUAAAACAGGGAAAGUUACACAGAGGGAAAAAGGUAGAGAGAGAGAGGGAGGGGAGAGGGAGACAGGAAUAGCAGAAGGACAGGAAAUUGUAGGCACUCAGGGAAGAAGACAUUUAGAAAGCGAAGUACAACAGGAAUACAGGGAGGGAUUAAAACAGAAAGGAAGUAAGGACAUGUAAAGAGGAUGGAC
Molecule: long non-coding RNA, 1944 nt
Organism: Astatotilapia calliptera (eastern happy)
Lineage: Eukaryota; Metazoa; Chordata; Actinopteri; Cichliformes; Cichlidae
Source: Ensembl